This 67-nucleotide transfer RNA is filed under the name Isoteinon lamprospilus. RNAcentral describes it as "tRNA-Glu". The record is from RNAcentral. Lineage: Eukaryota; Metazoa; Arthropoda; Insecta; Lepidoptera; Hesperiidae.
AUUUAUAUAGUUUAUAAUAAAACAUUACAUUUUCAUUGUAAAAAUAAAAUACCAAUUUUUAUAAAUA